UAGUCAUGAAACUUGGACAUACUUGUGUCCUGGAGCUGACGAGCAAUCCAUCCAAGGGUGUCUGAUUGGCUAAUGUCAUUGUGAUGCAGCUCUGUCAUCUCUCUGGGGUCAUGUCAGUUGAAGUCAUAGCUCGACUGAGGAAGGGAACAGAAGGAACUACUGGUCAACUCCAUUCAAAACUUCUUCAGCGAUCUGUUUUAUAGCAGAUGUCUUUAGAUGUCAUUGCUGGACAUCCAAAUGACAGCGAGGUGGUUCCGAGCAGCCGCGGGGCGGAGCUGGGGGCGGUGACGGGGAGGAGGCACCGCGGGCGGAGCAGAGAGCCAGGGCAGGCAAGGGCAGCGGAGUAGCGGGCUGUGGCAGUGCCAAGCGCGGCUGGCGGGGUGCUCCUGGGUGCGCGUGGCUGCCGCCGGCGGGGCCGGACUUUGUGUCCUGCGAGGGCCGGGGCCUCGGCCGCGAACGCCUCUGAAUCUUUGGCUUCUUUCCCAGCUCGUGCACCUCUGUCCUGUGAUAUGAAAUUUCAGCGGGAGAAAAUGGAUUUUCUGAGUUUGCUGCUUCUUUUCUUCUCGGCAGUGACUGUGAGCAGAGCCCAGGUGCAGCAGGAGCCUUUGGUAGAGACCAGCGAGGACACCGGCAUCAACAUCACCUGCUCACACCCCAGCAUACAGUCCAACGAAAACAUCCACUGGUACCGUCAGCUCCCGGACCGAGGUCCUGUCUUCAUUGUGAGCGUUUUUAAAGACUCCAAGGAGGUGCCGAACCCGGUGGGACGGCUGUCGGUGUCGGCAGACCGCCGCUCCAGCGCCCUGUGGCUCGCCCGGCCCCGGCUCGGGGACGCGGCGGUGUAUUACUGCGCCGUAGGCACACGGGGAGAGGAGCCGGGGCUGCGGCCGGACACGAACCGCUUUGGUCGUCCCGGGAGUACAGUGCCGUCGGGACCCGCAGGGGGCGCUGCCUGCAGGGCCAACAAACUCCAUUCUGACCAAGAUGCACCUCCCUGUGCUAUCGGGAGAAAAGAGCAGGACACCCAUUGCAGCCAUUGACUGAAUGUGAGUCAGACACAUCUAUGUCUGAAGUGAGUAAGACCGCAUAAAUUACAAGUUCUGUUAUACACCACGGAGACCUCCUCACAAUUCUACUGUCCUCUCUUGCUUCCCUGGUGCCACACUGGUGAGAGUAGGAGGAGCCCUGUUUCUAUGAGCCAGCAAGGAGGCUUAUACCCAUGCUUUUUCCAUAAGCUGAUCAGUGGUCAUGUUCUCCCUUUAAGCAACCUUUUGGCUUAGCUGUGGGCAGAAAUAUUGCAAGGCAAAGGCCAAUAGUUCCCUCUUCUACCACUGGCAGAGAGACCUUCUGCUUCUAGGGACAGUGCCCAAGAGAGCAGCCUUUGCAGUG
Molecule: non-coding RNA, 1389 nt
Organism: Coturnix japonica (Japanese quail)
Lineage: Eukaryota; Metazoa; Chordata; Aves; Galliformes; Phasianidae
Source: the annotation of a RefSeq genome assembly